AACUUUAUUUCAAGGGUCCUUUCCCUUUAUUGAUUUUGAUACGCAUAUUGAUUUUGUUGGUGUGGUAUCAUCAAGGGUUGUUUAAUCUGAGGUGUGGGGUAUGAUUGUUGCUGAUAUUGGUUAGGCAUAAUAGCCACAACUUGAUAAUAUGGUACUGGAGCAUAAUGAUAGGCUUUGGCAUUCCCUUUAACAUCCAUCCCUGCAUUUGUAUCUCCCUCAUUUUUGGUAAGUUAGAGGAAAG
Molecule: long non-coding RNA, 241 nt
Filed under: Lathyrus oleraceus (garden pea)
Lineage: Eukaryota; Viridiplantae; Streptophyta; Magnoliopsida; Fabales; Fabaceae
Description: Pisum sativum (pea) long non-coding RNA (PSAT_LNC031822)
Source: RNAcentral